GCCCCAGACUCCUACGGGAGGCAGCAGUGGGGAAUAUUGCGCAAUGGGCGAAACCCUGAUGCAGCGACGCCGCGUGAGCGAUGAAGUAUUUCGGUCUGUAAAGCUCUAUCAGCAGGGAAGAAGAUGACGGUACCUGACUAAGAAGCCCCGGCUAACUACGUGCCAGCAGCCGCGGUAAUACGUAGGGGGCAAGCGUUAUCCGGAUUUACUGGGUGUAAAGGGAGCGUAGACGGCGAUGCAAGCCAGAUGUGAAAGCCCGGGGCCCAACCCCGGGACUGCUCUGGAAACUGCGGCGCUGGAGUACGGGAGGGGCAGGCGGAAUUCCUGGUGUAGCGGUGAAAUGCGUAGAUAUCAGGAGGAACACCGGCGGCGAAGGCGGCCUGCUGGACCGUGACUGACGUUGAGGCUCGAGAGCGUGGGGAGCAAACAGGAUUAGAUACCCUAGUA
Molecule: ribosomal RNA, 447 nt
Filed under: uncultured bacterium
Lineage: Bacteria
Description: bacterial SSU rRNA
Rfam family: Bacterial small subunit ribosomal RNA
Source: RNAcentral